UAGCUGAGGAAAAGAAACCAACAGGGAUUGCCUUAGUAGCGGCGAGUGAAGCGGCAAUAGCUCAAAUUUGAAAUCUGGCACUUUCAGUGUCCGAGUUGUAAUUUGAAGAAGGUAUCUUUGGGUCUAGCUCUUGUCUAUGUUUCUUGGAACAGAACGUCACAGAGGGUGAGAAUCCCGUGCGAUGAGAUGUCUAGAUCUAUGUAAAGUUCCUUCGAAGAGUCGAGUUGUUUGGGAAUGCAGCUCUAAGUGGGUGGUAAAUUCCAUCUAAAGCUAAAUAUUGGCGAGAGACCGAUAGCGAACAAGUACAGUGAUGGAAAGAUGAAAAGAACUUUGAAAAGAGAGUGAAAAAGUACGUGAAAUUGUUGAAAGGGAAGGGCUUGAGAUCAGACUUGGUAUUUUGUAUGUUACUCUCUCGGGGGUGGCCUCUACAGUUUACCGGGCCAGCAUCAGUUUGAGCGGUAGGAGAAUUGCGUAGGAAUGUGGCUCGGCCUCGGUCGAGUGUUAUAGCCUUCGUCGAUACUGCCAGCUUAGACUGAGGACUGCGGCUUCGGCCUAGGAUGUUGGCAUAAUGAUCUUAAGUCGCCCGUCU
RNAcentral lists this ribosomal RNA (589 nucleotides) under Lodderomyces elongisporus. RNAcentral describes it as "eukaryotic LSU rRNA". It matches the Rfam family "Eukaryotic large subunit ribosomal RNA", at positions 48 to 654 of the family's 3401-position model. Lineage: Eukaryota; Fungi; Ascomycota; Pichiomycetes; Serinales; Debaryomycetaceae. The record is from RNAcentral.